GGUCGUGUAGUACAGUGGUUAGUACGUUUGUCUUACAAUGAGUAAAAGCUCAAGUGAUCACAAAAGGUCGCAGGUUCGAUCCCUGCCACGAUCA
Cladobotryum mycophilum is the source of this 94-nucleotide non-coding RNA. The record is from the annotation of a GenBank genome assembly. NCBI's taxonomy places the organism in Eukaryota, Fungi, Ascomycota, Sordariomycetes, Hypocreales, Hypocreaceae.